AUCGAGGUGUUGUGCGGGUUGUAGUUCAGGAAGACGAAGCCCCGGCACUGGUCGAUGAUGUGGAAGAGCGGGUUCCACGAGAACAGGACCAGCAUCGAGACCGGCAGCGAAUUGGCGACGAACAUCUUGCCGCUGAAGAUCAUGUUGGCCCGCCC
This 155-nucleotide non-coding RNA is filed under the name Wenxinia saemankumensis. Its description in RNAcentral is "Ruegeria cis2 sRNA". It matches the Rfam family "Ruegeria cis2 sRNA". Rfam says of the family: Cis-encoded. Targets ABC transporter. The record is from Rfam by way of RNAcentral. Lineage: Bacteria; Pseudomonadati; Pseudomonadota; Alphaproteobacteria; Rhodobacterales; Roseobacteraceae.